AGUGAACGCUGGCGGUAGGCCUAACACAUGCAAGUCGAACGGCAGCACAGUAAGAGCUUGCUCUUACGGGUGGCGAGUGGCGGACGGGUGAGGAAUACAUCGGAAUCUACUUUUUCGUGGGGGAUAACGUAGGGAAACUUACGCUAAUACCGCAUACGACCUACGGGUGAAAGCAGGGGAUCUUCGGACCUUGCGCGAUUGAAUGAGCCGAUGUCGGAUUAGCUAGUUGGUGGGGUAAAGGCCCACCAAGGCGACGAUCCGUAGCUGGUCUGAGAGGAUGAUCAGCCACACUGGAACUGAGACACGGUCCAGACUCCUACGGGAGGCAGCAGUGGGGAAUAUUGGACAAUGGGCGCAAGCCUGAUCCAGCCAUACCGCGUGGGUGAAGAAGGCCUUCUGGUUGUAAAGCCCUUUUGUUGGGAAAGAAAAGCAGCAGGUUAAUACCCCGCUGUUCUGACGGUACCCAAAGAAUAAGCACCGGCUAACUUCGUG
This 492-nucleotide ribosomal RNA is filed under the name uncultured bacterium. Its description in RNAcentral is "partial 16S ribosomal RNA". It matches the Rfam family "Bacterial small subunit ribosomal RNA", at positions 29 to 507 of the family's 1533-position model. The record is from RNAcentral.